UUAAGCGACUAAGCGUACACGGUGGAUGCCCUGGCAGUCAGAGGCGAUGAAGGACGUGCUAAUCUGCGAAAAGCGUCGGUAAGGUGAUAUGAACCGUUAUAACCGGCGAUGUCCGAAUGGGGAAACCCAGUGCAAUUCGUUGCACUAUCGUUAACUGAAUACAUAGGUUAACGAGGCGAACCGGGGGAACUGAAACAUCUAAGUACCCCGAGGAAAAGAAAUCAACCGAGAUUCCCCCAGUAGCGGCGAGCGAACGGGGAGCAGCCCAGAGUCUGAAUCAGCUUGUGUGUUAGUGGAACGGUCUGGAAAGUCCGACGGUACAGGGUGAUAGUCCCGUACACCAAAAUGCACAGGCUGUGAACUCGAAGAGUAGGGCGGGACACGUGGUAUCCUGUCUGAAUAUGGGGGGACCAUCCUCCAAGGCUAAAUACUCCUGACUGACCGAUAGUGAACCAGUACCGUGAGGGAAAGGCGAAAAGAACCCCGGCGAGGGGAGUGAAAAAGAACCUGAAACCGUGUACGUACAAGCAGUGGGAGCACCUUCGGGUGUGACUGCGUACCUUUUGUAUAAUGGGUCAGCGACUUAUAUUCUGUAGCAAGGUUAACCGUAUAGGGGAGCCGCAGGGAAACCGAGUCUUAACUGGGCGUUAAGUUGCAGGGUAUAGACCCGAAACCCGGUGAUCUAGCCAUGGGCAGGUUGAAGGUUGGGUAACACUAACUGGAGGACCGAACCGACUAAUGUUGAAAAAUUAGCGGAUGACUUGUGGCUGGGGGUGAAAGGCCAAUCAAACCGGGAGAUAGCUGGUUCUCCCCGAAAGCUAUUUAGGUAGCGCCUCGUGAACUCAUCUUCGGGGGUAGAGCACUGUUUCGGCUAGGGGGUCAUCCCGACUUACCAACCCGAUGCAAACUACGAAUACCGAAGAAUGUUAUCACGGGAGACACACGGCGGGUGCUAACGUCCGUCGUGAAGAGGGAAACAACCCAGACCGCCAGCUAAGGUCCCAAAGUCAUGGUUAAGUGGGAAACGAUGUGGGAAGGCACAGACAGCCAGGAUGUUGGCUUAGAAGCAGCCAUCAUUUAAAGAAAGCGUAAUAGCUCACUGGUCGAGUCGGCCUGCGCGGAAGAUGUAACGGGGCUAAACCAUGCACCGAAGCUGCGGCAGCGACACUAUGUGUUGUUGGGUAGGGGAGCGUUCUGUAAGCCUGCGAAGGUGACCUGUGAGGGUUGCUGGAGGUAUCAGAAGUGCGAAUGCUGACAUAAGUAACGAUAAAGCGGGUGAAAAGCCCGCUCGCCGGAAGACCAAGGGUUCCUGUCCAACGUUAAUCGGGGCAGGGUGAGUCGACCCCUAAGGCGAGGCCGAAAGGCGUAGUCGAUGGGAAACAGGUUAAUAUUCCUGUACUUGGUGUUACUGCGAAGGGGGGACGGAGAAGGCUAUGUUAGCCGGGCGACGGUUGUCCCGGUUUAAGCAUGUAGGCUGGUUGUCCAGGCAAAUCCGGAUAAUCAAGGCUGAGGUGUGAUGACGAGGCACUACGGUGCUGAAGUAACAAAUGCCCUGCUUCCAGGAAAAGCCUCUAAGCAUCAGGUAACAUCAAAUCGUACCCCAAACCGACACAGGUGGUCAGGUAGAGAAUACCAAGGCGCUUGAGAGAACUCGGGUGAAGGAACUAGGCAAAAUGGUGCCGUAACUUCGGGAGAAGGCACGCUGGUGUGUAGGUGAAGCCCCUGCGGGUGGAGCUGAGACCAGUCGAAGAUACCAGCUGGCUGCAACUGUUUAUUAAAAACACAGCACUGUGCAAACACGAAAGUGGACGUAUACGGUGUGACGCCUGCCCGGUGCCGGAAGGUUAAUUGAUGGGGUUAUCCGUAAGGAGAAGCUCUUGAUCGAAGCCCCGGUAAACGGCGGCCGUAACUAUAACGGUCCUAAGGUAGCGAAAUUCCUUGUCGGGUAAGUUCCGACCUGCACGAAUGGCGUAAUGAUGGCCAGGCUGUCUCCACCCGAGACUCAGUGAAAUUGAACUCGCUGUGAAGAUGCAGUGUACCCGCGGCAAGACGGAAAGACCCCGUGAACCUUUACUAUAGCUUGACACUGAACAUUGAGCCUUGAUGUGUAGGAUAGGUGGGAGGCUUUGAAGCGUGGACGCCAGUCUGCGUGGAGCCAACCUUGAAAUACCACCCUUUAAUGUUUGAUGUUCUAACGUUGGCCCCUGACCGGGGUUGCGGACAGUGUCUGGUGGGUAGUUUGACUGGGGCGGUCUCCUCCCAAAGCGUAACGGAGGAGCACGAAGGUUAGCUAAUCCUGGUCGGACAUCAGGAGGUUAGUGCAAUGGCAUAAGCUAGCUUGACUGCGAGCGUGACGGCGCGAGCAGGUGCGAAAGCAGGUCAUAGUGAUCCGGUGGUUCUGAAUGGAAGGGCCAUCGCUCAACGGAUAAAAGGUACUCCGGGGAUAACAGGCUGAUACCGCCCAAGAGUUCAUAUCGACGGCGGUGUUUGGCACCUCGAUGUCGGCUCAUCACAUCCUGGGGCUGAAGUAGGUCCCAAGGGUAUGGCUGUUCGCCAUUUAAAGUGGUACGCGAGCUGGGUUUAGAACGUCGUGAGACAGUUCGGUCCCUAUCUGCCGUGGGCGCUGGAGAAUUGAGGGGGGCUGCUCCUAGUACGAGAGGACCGGAGUGGACGCAUCACUGGUGUUCGGGUUGUCAUGCCAAUGGCACUGCCCGGUAGCUAAAUGCGGAAGAGAUAAGUGCUGAAAGCAUCUAAGCACGAAACUUACCCCGAGAUGAGUUCUCCCUGAGACUUUAAGUCUCCUGAAGGAACGUUGAAGACGACGACGUUGAUAGGCCGGGUGUGUAAGCGCAGCGAUGCGUUGAGCUAACCGGUACUAAUGAACCGUGAGGCUUAACCU
This 2899-nucleotide ribosomal RNA is filed under the name Klebsiella pneumoniae. RNAcentral describes it as "23S ribosomal RNA". It matches the Rfam family "Bacterial large subunit ribosomal RNA". Lineage: Bacteria; Pseudomonadati; Pseudomonadota; Gammaproteobacteria; Enterobacterales; Enterobacteriaceae. The record is from RNAcentral.